AUGUGGCCAUGGGUGGCGUUGGUGCUGGUCGCGCUGUGGGUGCGGCCGGCCGCGUCGGCCGAUACCGCGUCGUCCUAUAUUGUGCACAUGGACAAGUCGGCCAUGCCGAGCGGGGUCUCGAGCCACCUCCGCUGGUACGAAUCCACGCUGGCGGUGGCCGCCCCGGGGGCAGAAAUGUUCUACGUCUACGACCACGCCAUGCACGGCUUCGCGGCGCGGCUCCCUGAGGACGAGCUCGACAGGCUACGGCGCUCUCCCGGCUUCGUGUCGUGCUACCGCGACGACGCGAGGGUGGUGCGCGACACGACGCACACGCCCGAGUUCCUCGGCGUCAGCGCGGCCGGCGGGAUAUGGGAGGCGUCCAAGUACGGUGAGAAUGUGAUCAUCGGCGUGGUCGACUCGGGCGUGUGGCCCGAGAGCGCGAGCUUCCGCGACGACGGGCUCCCCCCGGUGCCGGCACGGUGGAAGGGCUUCUGCGAGUCCGGCCCCGCGUUCGACGCGGCCAAGGCGUGCAACCGGAAGCUCGUCGGCGCCCGCAAGUUCAACAAGGGCCUCAUCGCCAACAACGUGACCGUCGCUGUCGACUCCCCGCGGGACACGGACGGCCACGGCACGCACACGUCGUCCACGGCCGCUGGCUCGCCGGUGUCGGGCGCAUCCUUCUUCGGCUACGCCCGAGGCACCGCUCGCGGCAUGGCGCCCCGCGCCAGGGUGGCGGUGUACAAGGCCCUGUGGGACGAAGGCACGUACGCUUCCGACAUACUCGCCGCUAUGGACCAGGCCAUCGCCGACGGCGUCGACGUGCUCUCCGUCUCCCUUGGCCUGAACGGCCGGCAGUUAUACGACGACCCUGUCGCCAUUGGCGCGUUCGCGGCGAUGCAGCGCGGCGUGUUCGUGUCAACUUCGGCCGGUAACGAUGGACCGGACCUCGGGUACCUCCACAAUGGCUCGCCGUGGGUGCUCACCGUCGGGUCGGGCACGGUGGACAGGGAGUUCUCCGGCGUCGUCAGGCUCGGCGACGGCACGACAUUCGUCGGUGAAUCGCUAUACCCAGGAACCCCGAGCAGCCUCGGGAACGCCGGGCUCGUCUUCCUCGGCACGUGCGACAACGACACGUCCCUCUCCAUGAAUCGCGACAAGGUCGUGCUCUGCGACGCCACGGACACGGCGGACUCCCUCGGGUCCGCGAUAUCCGCGGCACAGGGCGCGAAGGUGCGCGGCGCGCUGUUCCUGUCGAGCGACCCGUUCAGGGAGCUCUCGGAGAGCUUUGUGUUCCCGGGCGUGAUCCUGAGCCCGCAGGACGCCCCCGCGUUGCUGCAUUACAUCAAGAGGAGCCGCACGCCCAAGGCCUCGAUCAAGUUCGCGGUGACCGUGGUGGACACAAAGCCCGCGCCGCUGCUGGCGACCUACUCGUCGCGCGGCCCGGCGGAGAGCUGUCCCACGGUGCUUAAGCCCGACCUGUUCGCGCCUGGCUCGCUCAUCCUCGCAUCGUGGGCGGAGAACGUCAGCGUCGCGAAUGUUGGGCAGCAGCCACUGUUCGGCAAGUUCAAGAUCAUCUCCGGCACGUCCAUGUCGUGCCCACACGCGUCAGGCGUGGCGGCGCUCCUCAAGGCCGUCCACCCGGAGUGGAGCCCCGCGGCGGUGCGGUCGGCAAUGAUGACAACGGCUAGCGUAGUGGACAACACCUUUGCUCCCAUCAAGGACAUGUCCGGCGGCAACGAGAACGGGCCAGCCUCACCGCUCGCGAUGGGGUCCGGCCACAUCGACCCGAACCGCGCGCUGGCCCCGGGCCUGGUCUACGAAGCCGGGCCGGCCGACUACAUCAAGCUCAUGUGCGCCAUGAACUACACGACGGCGCAAAUCAAGACCGUGGCGCAGUCGUCGGCCCCCGUGGACUGCAACGGUGCAUCGCUCGAUCUCAACUACCCGUCCUUCAUCGCGUACUUUGACACGGCCGGAGAGAAGACAUUCGCCAGGACCGUGACCAACGUGGGCGAUGGGCUGGCGAGGUAUAGCGCCACGGUGGAGGGACUGGACGGGCUAAAGGUGAGCGUCGUGCCGAACAGGCUGGUGUUCGGCGGGAAGCACGAGAAGCAGAGAUACACUGUGGUGAUUCAGGUGCAGGAUGAGCUAAUGCCCGAGGUAGUGCUGCAUGGAUCGUUGACGUGGGUGGACGACAACAACGAGUACACGGUGAGGAGCCCCAUCGUGGUGACGACGACGUCUGUGCUAUAG
RNAcentral lists this ribosomal RNA (2235 nucleotides) under Triticum aestivum (bread wheat). RNAcentral's name for it is "partial small subunit ribosomal RNA". The record is from RNAcentral. Lineage: Eukaryota; Viridiplantae; Streptophyta; Magnoliopsida; Poales; Poaceae.